AACGAACGCUGGCGGCAUGCCUAACACAUGCAAGUCGAACGAGACCUCCGGGCCUUGUGGCGCACGGGUGCGUAACGCCUGGGAACCUGCCCUUAGGUUCGGAAUCACUCCCCGAAAGGGAUCCUAAUACCGCAUAAUGUCUUCCGACCAAAGAUUUCUGGCUUUUGGGUGGGCCCGCGUUGGAUUCGGCGGUUGGUAGGGUAAAAGCCUGCCAUGGCGUCGAUCCAUAGCUGGUGGGAGAGGAAGCUCAUCCACACUGGGAAUGAGGCCCGGCCCAGACUCGGACGGGAGGCAGCAGUAGGGAAUAUUGGAGAAGGGGCGAAAGCCUGAUACAGCAAUGCCGCGGGAGUGAUGAAGGCCGUAGGGUUGUAAAGCUCUUUUUCCCGGGAUGAUAAUGACAGUACCGGGAGAAGAAGCUCCGGCUAACUCCGUG
RNAcentral lists this ribosomal RNA (433 nucleotides) under uncultured bacterium. RNAcentral describes it as "partial 16S ribosomal RNA". It matches the Rfam family "Bacterial small subunit ribosomal RNA", at positions 29 to 507 of the family's 1533-position model. The record is from RNAcentral.